UACGUAGGGGGCAAGCGUUGUCCGGAUUUAUUGGGCGUAAAGAGCGUGUAGGCGGCCAAGCAGGUCAGCUGUGAAAACUCGAGGCUCAACCUCGAGACGUCGGUUGAAACCGCUUGGCUAGAGUCCGGAAGAGGAGGAGUGGAAUUCCCGGUGUAGCGGUGAAAUGCGCAGAUAUCAGGAGGAACACCGGUGGCGAAGGCGGGUCUCUGGGCAGUUACUGACGCUGAGGAGCGAAAGCAUGGGGAGCGAACAGG
This 254-nucleotide ribosomal RNA is filed under the name uncultured bacterium. RNAcentral describes it as "partial 16S ribosomal RNA". It matches the Rfam family "Bacterial small subunit ribosomal RNA", at positions 524 to 776 of the family's 1533-position model. The record is from RNAcentral.